UACGAAGGGGGCUAGCGUUGUCCGGAAUUAUUGGGCGUAAAGCGCGUGUAGGCGGCUUUGCAAGUCGGGUGUGAAAGCCCUCGGCUCAACCGAGGAAGUGCGCCCGAAACUGCAGAGCUUGAGUACCGGAGAGGAUGGCGGAAUUCCCCAAGUAGAGGUGAAAUUCGUAGAUAUGGGGAGGAACACCGGUGGCGAAGGCGGCCAUCUGGACGGAUACUGACGCUGAGACGCGAAAGCGUGGGGAGCAAACAGG
RNAcentral lists this ribosomal RNA (253 nucleotides) under uncultured bacterium. RNAcentral's name for it is "partial 16S ribosomal RNA". It matches the Rfam family "Bacterial small subunit ribosomal RNA", at positions 524 to 776 of the family's 1533-position model. The record is from RNAcentral.